This 433-nucleotide ribosomal RNA is filed under the name uncultured bacterium. Its description in RNAcentral is "partial 16S ribosomal RNA". It matches the Rfam family "Bacterial small subunit ribosomal RNA", at positions 29 to 507 of the family's 1533-position model. The record is from RNAcentral.
AACGAACGCUGGCGGCAUGCCUAACACAUGCAAGUCGAACGAGACCUUCGGGUCUAGUGGCGCACGGGUGCGUAACGCGUGGGAACCUGCCCUUAGGUUCGGAAUAACUCCCCGAAAGGGGUGCUAAUACCGGAUAAUGUCUUCGGACCAAAGAUUUAUCGCCUUUGGAUGGGCCCGCGUUGGAUUAGCUAGUUGGUAGGGUAAAAGCCUACCAAGGCGACGAUCCAUAGCUGGUCAGAGAGGAUGAUCAGCCACACUGGGACUGAGACGCGGCCCAGACUCCUACGGGAGGCGGCAGUGGGGAAUAUUGGACAGUGGGCUAAGGCCUGAUCCAGCAAUGCCGCGUGAGUGAUGAAGGCCUUAGGGUUGUAAAGCUCUUUUACCCGGGAUGAUAAUGACGGUACCGGGAGAAUAAGCUCCGGCUAACUCCGUG